This 119-nucleotide ribosomal RNA is filed under the name Salmo salar (Atlantic salmon). The record is from RNAcentral. Lineage: Eukaryota; Metazoa; Chordata; Actinopteri; Salmoniformes; Salmonidae.
GCUUACGGCCAUACCAGCCUGGGUACGCCCGAUCUCGUCUGAUCUCGGAAGCUAAGCAGGGUCGGGCCUGGUUAGUACUUGGAUGGGAGACCGCCUGGGAAUACCAGGUGCUGUAUGCA